Notolabrus celidotus (New Zealand spotty) is the source of this 1765-nucleotide long non-coding RNA. RefSeq lists it as uncharacterized. The transcript has 2 exons. NCBI's taxonomy places the organism in Eukaryota, Metazoa, Chordata, Actinopteri, Labriformes, Labridae. The record is from RefSeq and is a predicted model, not a curated record.
GUCACUGCAGGUGUCACUGUUGUCCCUCCUGCUGCUUGAGUAUAUCCUGUCCCUGUCAGACUAAUCCGUAAAUUCAAGAUCUAAAAGUAGCUUAUGAUGAUUCCUCUGUCUUGCUGAUUCGCAUGCAGUACUUGUCCACUUGAAAUCACAUUAGGCUUAUGAACAACAACUACAACCAAAAUGCAACAAUGAUCACAUGGCAGCCACUUUAUUUUUGUGGUGAAAACAUUUAUUAAACACAACAUCCACAUUAUUGAAAAAAUCUGACAUACUGUACUUUUCAAAUAAAUUAGGUUUGAAUGCCUGACUGUAUUUGUGAAUAGGCAAAAAAUCACAAUAUCAACCUAAGGCAUGUAUAUUGCAGUUUACCAAUGUGCUGUGCUGUGCUGUUUUUAUCACAGAAGUUUAGAAGACAGGAAACAGCAUGUCUGUCUGCCAGUCUUUCUGCUCUGCUGGUUUCAACAACAGGCAAACAGAGAGCUUUUAUUUAUGUUAUUCUUUUCAAGUAAGACUACAAGCAGUCAGUUCAUUUUAAGGCAGUGCAGUUAUUGGGCUCAGGUUGAACUGGUGGUGGACCGGGGACUGCAGGCAAGAGGUAGGGAGGGUGAACACAGGUGGCUCAUAGUUUUUGGUGCUGAAGGUGGCGGAGAAGUCAUUGGCAAAAAAAGAGGCGGACUCUGGGGCGCAGCAGGGUGUGGACGGUUCAGGUGUGGUGGCGUGAGCGGGGGCCAUGGACAGGACCUCUGACUCAAACUGCAGCAGCUGACCCAUGAAACUGAAGUUGGGUGAGAUGACUGCUCUGCGCUGCUUUAUGAUGUCAAAGGUCGCAUCUAGCCGCAGCUGCUGCGUCUUCAUGAUGUAGGCCAUGCAGAUGGUGGGUGAGCGUGAGAUGCCUGCCUCGCAGUGGACCAGGACCUUUCCACCUGAUUGUUUCACUUGAUCUGGAAGGACAAGAAGGGGACAAGCAGACAUUAAUCAUCUGUGCUUUUGCCAAUGGGACGUCCGGUCAUCCAGAGCCACGAUGGCCGAUAUGCUUCCCUCCCGGAGCCGUAACAGGGAUCUCUCAUCCGGGAUGACAAACUGCAGAGGCACCGGCCCUCCUCGGGACCUCCGGACCACCACUGAGUUGAGGUUCACAUUGACAGAGCCUCUGAUGUUUGAGUUCGUGAAUGAGAAGUAAGGUCGACAAUCCACAAUAAGGCAGCUCCCACUCUCCUUUCUGAUGAUCUUCCUCAGACGCCGGCAGUCGAUGCUGGAAACUUUCAUGGUGACAGUCCUGUAGUUUUUGAUUAUUGCCUGAAGAAUUGAAGGAUAACUCCUGAAUGAAGGGGUCCCGCACGCGUCUGUGUCUACAUGUCCUCCAAGGGGAUUCCGGCUGAUGAGUUUUAUGUGAAUGGAACCUCCGGCGCAUGACGUCACGGACCAUAUAUGGACACCGGCGAUGUGUAAACGUCGCAAGAACACCCUCCCACUUCUGUGACUGAGUUGAGACUCCACCCUCGGCUCUGGUAAAUAAGAAGCUCCAGUGCUGCAGUGUUUGAUUCAAGAAUUACUCACUGUGUGUGUCACGUUACAGCAGGAUGAAUAUGUGUGGACUUUAAACCAGGUCGAUUUGAUCAGGGAGAAGCAAAGUCUAUUGAUUAUGAUGAGUCAUCAGAGGCAUUGAUUUUGAUUUAUCCCAACAAAACUAUAAUCUUUUUAAUAACAACAUUUAGUAAUGUCGGAAUAAUAAUAUGUCUGUAUAAAAUAAAUGGACAUGACUAGA